UCACACCCGAUCCCAUUCCGAACUCGGAAGUUAAGCUCUUCGGAGCCGAUGGUACUGCUGGGGAGACUCAGUGGGAGAGUAGGACGCCGCCGGGA
RNAcentral lists this ribosomal RNA (95 nucleotides) under Myxococcales bacterium. The record is from RNAcentral. Lineage: Bacteria; Pseudomonadati; Myxococcota; Myxococcia; Myxococcales.